UGCAAGGUCUCUCAUUAAAGGUCAGCGA
RNAcentral lists this non-coding RNA (28 nucleotides) under Bombyx mori (domestic silkworm). Lineage: Eukaryota; Metazoa; Arthropoda; Insecta; Lepidoptera; Bombycidae. The record is from RNAcentral.